GCAUGCACUGUUCUAGCCUAAGCCUAACCUUUUCUUGCCUCCACUUGCCCGAAGCUCUCGAUGAGCUGCGUCAGGUUCUCAUACGAGGAGCCUCCUUUCUCCAUGGCGCCGUGAGCUUUCUCUCCGUACUCCCUGGCCCUCCGCCUCCUCUCGCCGGCCUCUUUCCCUUCGCCCAUCAGCGCCGACACCGCCCGCGCGACGUCCCCACGCGCCACCACCACGCUCUCGUCGUCGAACACCAUCACGGGCGCCGUCACGCCGAUGGGCACGCCCACGCCGAGCACGUCCACCGCCAGCCGCUCGUUCAGGAACUGGUCGGCGAAGUGGGGCCACGUGACCACCGGGACGCCGUGCGCGACGGACUCCAGCAGCGAGUUCCAUCCGCAGUGGGUGACGAAGCCCCCCACGGCGCGGUGGGACAGGAUGGCGAGCUGCGGCGCCCACCCACGCACCACGAGACCCCGCCCCGCCGCGCGCGCCUCCAGGGCUCCCAGCCACUCCCGCACCUCCGGCGGGGACGCCUCGGCCAGCUUCACCACCCACAGGAACGGCCUGCCGGAGUCCUCCAGGCCAUGCCCCACCUCGAACAGCUGCUUCGGGAGCUUCCGCGCGAGGCUGCCGAAGCUGACGAACACGACGGAGCCGGUCUCCUUGGAGUCGAGCCAGGCGGCUACCGCGCUGUGCUGCUGGCCGCCGUCCGCCCCCCGCGACGACAUGGCGUCGGCGUCCCGCUCGCGGAGGCAGAGCGGCCCCAGCGUCCACACGGGUUUGCCGAGCGCCGCCUCGUAGCACGACACGAACUGGCCCUCGAGGCCCACGAACGUGUUCACCACUGCGCCGUCGGCCGCGCGCAUGGCCUCCACGCACUCGCCCCGGACCGCCUCCCACCCCGGCGAGUUGAAGAAGCCCGGCGCCGUGGCCUUGGUCACCUCUACGUGCACCGGCAUGCUCGGCACCACGAAC
This 963-nucleotide unclassified non-coding RNA is filed under the name Zea mays. RNAcentral describes it as "misc RNA Zm00001eb240600". Lineage: Eukaryota; Viridiplantae; Streptophyta; Magnoliopsida; Poales; Poaceae. The record is from RNAcentral.